GACGAACGCUGGCGGCGUGCCUAAUACAUGCAAGUAGAACGCUGAAGAGAGGAGCUUGCUCUUCUUGGAUGAGUUGCGAACGGGUGAGUAACGCGUAGGUAACCUGCCUGGUAGCGGGGGAUAACUAUUGGAAACGAUAGCUAAUACCGCAUAAAAUUGAUUAUUGCAUGAUACUUAAUUGAAAGAUGCAACUGCAUCACUACCAGAUGGACCUGCGCUGUAUUAGCUAGUUGGUGAGGUAACGGCUCACCAAGGCGACGAUACAUAGCCGACCUGAGAGGGUGAUCGGCCACACUGGGACUGAGACACGGCCCAGACCCCUACGGGAGGCAGCAGUAGGGAAUCUUCGGCAAUGGGGGGAACCCUGACCGAGCAACGCCGCGUGAGUGAAGAAGGUUCUCGGAUCGUAAAGCUCUGUUGUAAGAGAAGAAAGGGUGUGAGAGUGGAAAGUUCACACUGUGACGGUAUCUUACCAGAAAGGGACGGCUAACUACGUG
Molecule: ribosomal RNA, 497 nt
Filed under: uncultured bacterium
Lineage: Bacteria
Description: partial 16S ribosomal RNA
Rfam family: Bacterial small subunit ribosomal RNA
Source: RNAcentral